This 447-nucleotide ribosomal RNA is filed under the name Alamprops augustinensis. RNAcentral describes it as "partial large subunit ribosomal RNA". Lineage: Eukaryota; Metazoa; Arthropoda; Malacostraca; Cumacea; Lampropidae. The record is from RNAcentral.
GCUGCUACACUGGUAAGGUUUCUUAAUUCAACAUCGAGGUCGCAAACCUUUUUUUCAAUUAGGGCUCUAAAAAAGAUAACGCUGUUAUCCCCGAAGUAAUUUAUUCUUGAGAUUUUACUAAGGUCUUCUUACACACCUAGUAGUGUUUUAUUUAAAACAGGUAGUAUUUUUAUUUCUGUCACCCCAACCAAACUCUACUAAUAUCCCACCUAGUCAAUAAAAAUGAGUAAAAUUUUACGGGGUCUUGUCGUCUUUUAAAAAAAUUCUAGAAUUUUUACUAAAAAUUAAUUUUUUAUUUUUACCAGAGAUAGUUUUACUACGUCGAACCUUUCAUUCAAGCUCUUAAUUAAAAAGCAAUGUAUUAUGCUACCUUAGUMCAGUUAAAAUACUGCAGCUCUUUAAACCAGUGUGCAGGUAGGACCUCUUAUAAACCAAAAGGACAUGUUU